RNAcentral lists this ribosomal RNA (1654 nucleotides) under Filenchus facultativus. RNAcentral describes it as "SSU rRNA". It matches the Rfam family "Eukaryotic small subunit ribosomal RNA". Lineage: Eukaryota; Metazoa; Nematoda; Chromadorea; Rhabditida; Tylenchidae. The record is from RNAcentral.
AUGUCUAAGUACAAACGCUCCAAGCGUGAAACCGCGAACGGCUCAUUAUAACAGCUAUAAUUCACUUGAUCUUGACAAUCCUACUUGGAUAACUGUGGUAAUUCUAGAGCUAAUACAUGCACCCAACCGACGCGCAAGCGCCGGGCAUUUAUUAGAGGAAAACCAAGCGGCCUCGGCCGCCCAGUGUUGACUCAGAAUAACUCAGCUGAUCGCACGGCUCCACGCCGGCGACGUGUCUUUCAAGUAUCUGCCUUAUCAACUUUCGAUGGUAGUGUAUCUGCCUACCAUGGUGGUGACGGGUAACGGAGGAUCAGGGUCCGACUCCGGAGAAGGGGCCUGAGAAAUGGCCACUACGUCUAAGGAUGGCAGCAGGCGCGCAAAUUACCCACUCUCGGCGCGAGGAGGUAGUGACGAGAAAUAACGAGGCGUAGCCCAACGGGCUGCGCCAUCGGAAUGGGUACAACCCAAACCCUUUAACGAGUAUCUAUGAGAGGGCAAGUCUGGUGCCAGCAGCCGCGGUAAUUCCAGCUCUCAAAAUGCAUAGAAUUAUUGCUGCGGUUAAAAAGCUCGUAGUUGGAUCUCUGCCGGGGCGGUGGUCGCUUUUUCGGAAGUGCACCAUCGACCCGGCUCCAGUCGGGCCCCGCAAGGGCGCCCGGCGCUUUACUUUGAACAAAUCAGAGUGCUCAACACAGGCGUCUCGCCUGAAUGUUCGUGCAUGGAAUAAUGGAAGAGGACUUCGGCCCCGUUUCAUUGGUUUUGGAGCCGACGUAAUGGUUAAUAGAGACAAACGGGGGCAUUCGUACCGCUGCGUGAGAGGUGAAAUUCUUGGACCGCAGCGRGACGCACGACAGCGAAAGCAUUUGCCAAGCGUGUCUUCAUUAAUCAAGAACGAAAGUCAGAGGUUCGAAGGCGAUCAGAUACCGCCCUAGUUCUGACCGUAAACGAUGCCAACUAGCGAUCCGGGGGGCGUUUUAUCACCCCCCGGGGAGCUUCCCGGAAACCAAAGUCUUCCGGUUCCGGGGGAAGUAUGGUUGCAAAGCUGAAACUUAAAGGAAUUGACGGAAGGGCACCACCAGGAGUGGAGCCUGCGGCUUAAUUUGACACAACACGGGGAAACUCACCCGGCCCGGACACCGCGAGGAUUGACAGACCGACAGCUCUUUCAUGAUUCGGUGGAUGGUGGUGCAUGGCCGUUCCUAGUUCGUGGAGCGAUUUGUCUGGUUUAUUCCGAUAACGAGCGAGACUCCAGCCUGCUAAAUAGUGCGAGUGUUAUCUGCGCUCCGCACUUCUUAGAGGGAUUUUCGGCGUUCAGCCGCACGACACGGAGCAAUAACAGGUCUGUGAUGCCCUUAGAUGUCCGGGGCUGCACGCGCGCUACACUGGCGAAGGCAGCGUGCCUGUCCUCUCCCGAUGGGGACGGGUAAACCAUUGAAAAUUCGCCGUGAUUGGGAUCGGAGAUUGCAAUUAUUCUCCGUGAACGAGGAAUUCCAAGUAAGUGCGAGUCAUCAGCUCGCGUUGAUUACGUCCCUGCCCUUUGUACACACCGCCCGUCGCUGCCCGGGACUGAGCCAUUUCGAGAAAUCCGGGGACGCGCGUUUUUCGGGAGACUGAUAGACGCGCACAACCGGCUUAAUCGCAGUGGCUUGAACCGGGC